This 460-nucleotide ribosomal RNA is filed under the name uncultured bacterium. RNAcentral's name for it is "partial 16S ribosomal RNA". It matches the Rfam family "Bacterial small subunit ribosomal RNA", at positions 338 to 795 of the family's 1533-position model. The record is from RNAcentral.
CCUACGGGAGGCAGCAGUGAGGAAUAUUGGUCAAUGGACGAGAGUCUGAACCAGCCAAGUAGCGUGAAGGAUGACUGCCCUAUGGGUUGUAAACUUCUUUUAUAAAGGAAUAAAACGAGGCACGUGUGCCUUUUUGCAUGUACUUUAUGAAUAAGGAUCGGCUAACUCCGUGCCAGCAGCCGCGGUAAUACGGAGGAUCCGAGCGUUAUCCGGAUUUAUUGGGUUUAAAGGGAGCGUAGAUGGGUUGUUAAGUCAGUUGUGAAAGUUUGCGGCUCAACCGUAAAAUUGCAAUUGAUACUGGCAGUCUUGAGUACAGUUGAGGUAGGCGGAAUGCGUGGGGUAGCGGUGAAAUGCUUAGAUAUCACGAAGAACCCCGAUUGCGAAGGCAGCUUACGAAACUGUGACUGACAUUGAUGCACGAAAGUGUGGGUAUCAAACAGGAUUAGAUACCCUUGUAGUC